UUAUUGGAGAGUUUGAUCCUGGCUCAGGACGAACGCUGGCGGCGUGCCUAAUACAUGCAAGUCGAGCGAAUCUGAGGGAGCUUGCUCCCAAAGAUUAGCGGCGGACGGGUGAGUAACACGUGGGCAACCUGCCUGUAAGACUGGGAUAACUUCGGGAAACCGGAGCUAAUACCGGAUAAUCCUUUUCUACUCAUGUAGAAAAGCUGAAAGAUGGCUUCGGCUAUCACUUACAGAUGGGCCCGCGGCGCAUUAGCUAGUUGGUGAGGUAACGGCUUACCAAGGCGACGAUGCGUAGCCGACCUGAGAGGGUGAUCGGCCACACUGGGACUGAGACACGGCCCAGACUCCUACGGGAGGCAGCAGUAGGGAAUCUUCCGCAAUGGACGAAAGUCUGACGGAGCAACGCCGCGUGAGUGAUGAAGGUUUUCGGAUCGUAAAACUCUGUUGUUAGGGAAGAACAAGUACCGUUCGAAUAGGGCGGUACCUUGACGGUACCUAACCAGAAAGCCACGGCUAACUACGUGCCAGCAGCCGCGGUAAUACGUAGGUGGCAAGCGUUGUCCGGAAUUAUUGGGCGUAAAGCGCGCGCAGGUGGUUUCUUAAGUCUGAUGUGAAAGCCCCCGGCUCAACCGGGGAGGGUCAUUGGAAACUGGGAGACUUGAGUGCAGAAGAGGAAAGUGGAAUUCCAAGUGUAGCGGUGAAAUGCGUAGAGAUUUGGAGGAACACCAGUGGCGAAGGCGACUUUCUGGUCUGUAACUGACACUGAGGCGCGAAAGCGUGGGGAGCGAACAGGAUUAGAUACCCUGGUAGUCCACGCCGUAAACGAUGAGUGCUAAGUGUUAGAGGGUUUCCGCCCUUUAGUGCUGCAGCAAACGCAUUAAGCACUCCGCCUGGGGAGUACGGCCGCAAGGCUGAAACUCAAAGGAAUUGACGGGGCCCGCACAAGCGGUGGAGCAUGUGGUUUAAUUCGAAGCAACGCGAAGAACCUUACCAGGUCUUGACAUCCUCUGACAAUCCUAGAGAUAGGACGUUCCCCUUCGGGGGACAGAGUGACAGGUGGUGCAUGGUUGUCGUCAGCUCGUGUCGUGAGAUGUUGGGUUAAGUCCCGCAACGAGCGCAACCCUUGAUCUUAGUUGCCAGCAUUCAGUUGGGCACUCUAAGGUGACUGCCGGUGACAAACCGGAGGAAGGUGGGGAUGACGUCAAAUCAUCAUGCCCCUUAUGACCUGGGCUACACACGUGCUACAAUGGAUGGUACAAAGGGCUGCAAGACCGCGAGGUUUAGCCAAUCCCAUAAAACCAUUCUCAGUUCGGAUUGCAGGCUGCAACUCGCCUGCAUGAAGCCGGAAUCGCUAGUAAUCGCGGAUCAGCAUGCCGCGGUGAAUACGUUCCCGGGCCUUGUACACACCGCCCGUCACACCACGAGAGUUUGUAACACCCGAAGUCGGUGGGGUAACCGCAAGGAGCCAGCCGCCUAAGGUGGGACAGAUGAUUGGGGUGAAGUCGUAACAAGGUAGCCGUAUCGGAAGGUGCGGCUGGAUCACCUCCUUU
Molecule: ribosomal RNA, 1550 nt
Filed under: Cytobacillus solani
Lineage: Bacteria; Bacillati; Bacillota; Bacilli; Caryophanales; Bacillaceae
Description: bacterial SSU rRNA
Rfam family: Bacterial small subunit ribosomal RNA
Source: RNAcentral